CUUAUUUCAAUUACACCAGAAAAAAUUAUUUUAUAUAUGAAAUUAAAUAGUUGAAUAGCCACUACAACAGAAUUAGGUUAUAUGGACACAUAUUUGGGACACUUUUGAGUAAGUGUCCCAUUUAUGCUAAAAUUUUAAAAAAUAUCUACUAAUGCUUAAAUAUAAAGCCCAAUCCAACUAAAAAUAAAAAUUACUCUACUCAACCCACCACACCCAGUCCAUUUGACCCGAUUACAAACAGAAAAGAAAAAAAAAAGAAAAAUCAAUUAUCAUCUUUUCUUCUCUCUUCACUCAAUCCACUAAAAUUCUAGACGAAGAGCCUUUCCUGUCGUCCUCCUCCGUCACCGCAGCAAACGAGAUAGAGUUUCGGCGGUUGCUAAAUGCUUAAAUAAGUGUUGGUAAAUUAGCAACACUCUUUUAGGUUAUAGCGACACUCUUUAACUGUCACUAUAUACCUAGUGACCCCACAUAUAGCAACACUUUUUAAAAGUGUCGGUAAUUUUAGCUAGCAGCACUUUUUGACAUGUAUAUAUAUAUAAAAGUGUCGCUAUAAACCGUUUUUGUUGUAGUGAGAAACGGAC
Molecule: long non-coding RNA, 581 nt
Filed under: Ananas comosus (pineapple)
Lineage: Eukaryota; Viridiplantae; Streptophyta; Magnoliopsida; Poales; Bromeliaceae
Description: long non-coding RNA (ACOM_LNC022445)
Source: RNAcentral